AGGAUGUACAGUAAAAACGACAGCACUGCUAAUUCUCUCGACCGCGGCUAAAAUCCGCGGCUUCCUCG
This 68-nucleotide transfer RNA is filed under the name Puntigrus tetrazona (Sumatra barb). Its description in RNAcentral is "tRNA-Ser". Lineage: Eukaryota; Metazoa; Chordata; Actinopteri; Cypriniformes; Cyprinidae. The record is from RNAcentral.